GGUUGGGUGGCCGAGUAGGUGUUAGUCUCUUAAAUUAAUCACG
This 43-nucleotide transfer RNA is filed under the name Calisoga longitarsis. RNAcentral's name for it is "tRNA-Lys". The record is from RNAcentral. Lineage: Eukaryota; Metazoa; Arthropoda; Arachnida; Araneae; Nemesiidae.